Molecule: microRNA, 21 nt
Filed under: Gadus morhua (Atlantic cod)
Lineage: Eukaryota; Metazoa; Chordata; Actinopteri; Gadiformes; Gadidae
Description: gmo-miR-10544-3p
Source: miRBase by way of RNAcentral
UGCGCACGGGGCCACGCCCUG